GUGCACGCCGGGAACGCAGGAUUUUGGAUCGGAAUCGGCCAUGACUCCAUUUUACACGGUUAAUGGCCUGCAAGGCCCUGUUUGGAUCCCACUGCUAGAGCUAGUUAGAGCUAAACUAAUUCCCAAAGUAUCCAAACACAUAGCCUUGUUUGGGUUAGAUGCAAACUAACCCAUAAAAAACUAGCCCUAAAAAGAGGUGCUAGUUGGAGCUAGUUGGGAUGGACAGGUAAAAAUAAUAAUAUUUUAAUCGCAUCGGAUCAUUUCCUCUCCAUCCUCCUGCAUCGCGCGUCGCUCGGCCGCGCUCGCCCCUCCGGC
Molecule: long non-coding RNA, 315 nt
Filed under: Hordeum vulgare
Lineage: Eukaryota; Viridiplantae; Streptophyta; Magnoliopsida; Poales; Poaceae
Description: long non-coding RNA (HVUL_LNC003281)
Source: RNAcentral